UGGGAUUUGGAUCAAGGCAAAGGCGUAGAUCCAGCAAUGCCGCGUGUGUGAAGAAGGCCCUUCGGGUUGUAAAGCACUUUUGUCCGGAAAGAAAUCCUUGGCUCUAAUACAGUCGGGGGAUGACGGUACCGGAAGAAUAAGCACCGGCUAACUACGUGCCAGCAGCCGCGGUAAUACGUAGGGUGCAAGCGUUAAUCGGAAUUACUGGGCGUAAAGCGUGCGCAGGCGGUUUGCUAAGACCGAUGUGAAAUCCCCGGGCUCAACCUGGGAACUGCAUUUGGUGACUGGCAGGCUAGAGUAUGGCAGAGGGGGGUAGAAUUCCACGUGUAGCAGUGAAAUGCGUAGAGAUGUGGAGGAAUACCGAUGGCGAAGGCAGCCCCCUGGGCCAAUACUGACGCUCAUGCACGAAAGCGUGGGGAGCAAACAGGAUUAGAUACCCUGGUAGUCCACGCCCUAAAACGAUGUCAACUAGUUGUUGGGGAUUCAUUUCCUUAGUAACGUAGCUAAC
This 508-nucleotide ribosomal RNA is filed under the name uncultured bacterium. RNAcentral describes it as "partial 16S ribosomal RNA". It matches the Rfam family "Bacterial small subunit ribosomal RNA", at positions 357 to 856 of the family's 1533-position model. The record is from RNAcentral.